This 459-nucleotide long non-coding RNA is filed under the name Equus asinus (donkey). Its description in RNAcentral is "lncRNA (ENSEASG00005024609.1)". Lineage: Eukaryota; Metazoa; Chordata; Mammalia; Perissodactyla; Equidae. The record is from RNAcentral.
GAAAGGCAAGUUUCCCAAACUCUGACAGCAACACGGAACACCUGAGGCACGCUUACCCUCUAGUGGGGCCCAAGAAUCACGCCAAGCAGAUGAAGGAAGGGGCGGUGACGCAACUAGGCCUCCUGCAGCAGGGCCAGCCCAAGGCAGAGCGCGGCGGCCGUGACCCCGCAGCCGGCUCUCGGCGGCCGCCGCCUACGCCUCCCCCGGGGAUGACUCAGGUCAGGAGGAUUUGUGAGCUUGUUUUGGAGAAGAAAGAGAACGCCUUUGGGGAGGUUUCCAUCACCUGGAUGACCAGCAUCCAACUGCCAUUACUGCCCAGAAGUCAGAUUGCCCAUGGGAUACUGUGGAGUGAAAGAAACACGGAUGACCCCUUUGUUUCUCUGAAACUCCUCCCGCCAAGCCCUUUAGCUCUAUGAAACCCCCUGCUUUCUUCUCUUGUUAAGGUGGAUUUGAGAGAAC